ACAAAUAUAUUUUAUUUUAAAUGAAAUCUUUCAUUUUUCAAUUUCACCAAAUAACAUCAUAACAUUGUUUUUUUUAAGCAAGGGGCUUAGCCCAUAAUAUAUUAAUAAACGGUAACCAUACAAGCUUAGUUGACAAACCUAUAAGAAGGUAAUUGAAGACAAUUCCUAUACAAAAAAGGAUGAAUUAAUGUAGGGGAUGACUCCACCAAGUAUAGCAAUUCUGAUCAAUGCCCAAGUUUGUCAAUAAAUUAGCACAUUGGUUUCCCUCCCUAUAGAUAUGCGUUAUCCAACAAUCCAUUGAAGACAUGAGAACCUUGCAAGACCUCCAAAUGUAAAUUAUUUGUUGAUCAAUAUGAAAAGAAGGAGGAAACUUAUCUCCAAAAUCAUACUCAAUAUUGAUCUAUGCAUUUUCACUAUGUAGAUUUAUACAUAAUUAAUAUUUAAUUCAUUAAUGAUUUGUUGAAUUUAGAAGUAUCGAUGAAAAAUAGGCCUCUAAAGGUCUUUAAUAUUCUCCUUCUACUGACUAUCCAAUAAUGAUUAUGUAUUAGAAUAGAUUGAUGAUGAUUAUCUAUCCCAAGUUAGUGUCUCUAACUCUGUUCCUUCAAAUAAUAUACUGUCAUAUAAUGUUUAUUCUGUUUUAAUAAAGAAUGAAAUGACACAUAAGAAUGAAUAAUUUUUUACUGGAAUGGUAAACUGACAUUUUUAAAUUAUUGUGGGAUAGAGUUAGAGACAUCAAAUGAGAUAUGUGAUCUUCAGGAGCACAUCUUCUGUCCUAAAAAGUAUGUCAAUCCAUUUACCACUCACUUGUGAUUGAUCGAUAAAAUAUAUAAGUUAAAAUUUAAUAAUUAUGUAUUUUACUGACCAAUCAUAAAUGGUGGCUCAUGGAAUGACACACUUUCUGAGACAGAAGAUGUCAUCCCGUUAUCUUCCUCCACCAGAGAUAAUACAAGUAAUUGUUAUUGGAUAAUGAUAAUCAUUAAGAAGACGUCUUGAACACUUUAUCACCAAUAUUCUAUUCAACAAACAUAUAUUAAUUUGAUUGGAAACUCUUGAUUUUAUAGGUUUCACCAAAUAAAAUCAUUAUAUCAUCAAGUAUUUGUUGAUUAAUCUGAAAAGAAAAGGGAAAAUUGUCCACAAAAUCAUAUUGGGGUGAAUAUUCUUUUCCAUUGCACCUUUAAGUGUUGUGAUAUAACAUAUAAUGUAAAUGAACAUCAACCCUUUCAUGACCCAUCUCUACUACUUAUUUUGCUAGUCUUUAAAAAAAAUGUAUAUAUAACAUUCAUCUUGUGACAAACAAACAAAUAGAACAUACAUAAAAAUUUAUGGAAUUUUUUUGUAUUAAGUUCCAUUUAUAUACAGCAUGUGAUAAUAUUUGUUAUUAUGAGAAUUAUUUGAACAAUCAAAAUUAAAAAGAAAUGUUUAUGUGAUAAAUAAGUGACUUUUAAUCUCAAUCAUCCAACUAAUAAAACUUUAUUUAAAGAGUAAAAUAAGCACUCAAACGUGUUACGAUUCAAAAUUUUAUCUCAAAUUUUUUUUGGUACAUCGGAAAGAUGUAUCAAGAUUAAAACUUUAUUUAAAAACAACGACAGAAACUUAUUAAGAUUCAAAUUGUAUGGUUAAAUACUCACAGAGAUUCAAUUUGUUUUUCAAAAGAUGUCCUUUAUACAUUCAAGUAAAAUUCAAUCAUUAAAACUUGAAGAUCAAAACAAUUUCAAAGACAAAUUUAAUCAAGCUUGGGAAAAUCUUAUCAUAAGCAAACACCACAUGGUAAUAAAAUGAUUGGAAGAAUUCUCCCCAUACCUCAAAUUGUGAAUCCAAACUUCAUCUUCUUC
Molecule: long non-coding RNA, 1832 nt
Filed under: Lupinus angustifolius (narrow-leaved blue lupine)
Lineage: Eukaryota; Viridiplantae; Streptophyta; Magnoliopsida; Fabales; Fabaceae
Description: long non-coding RNA (LANG_LNC001330)
Source: RNAcentral